RNAcentral lists this ribosomal RNA (496 nucleotides) under uncultured bacterium. Its description in RNAcentral is "partial 16S ribosomal RNA". It matches the Rfam family "Bacterial small subunit ribosomal RNA", at positions 29 to 507 of the family's 1533-position model. The record is from RNAcentral.
AUGAACGCUGGCGGCGUGCCUAAUACAUGCCAGUCGAGCGAACAGACGAGGAGCUUGCUCCUCUGACGUUAGCGGCGGACGGGUGAGUAACACGUGGAUAACCUACCUAUAAGACUGGGAUAACUUCGGGAAACCGGAGCUAAUACCGGAUAAUAUAUUGCACCGCAUGUUUCAAUAGUGAAAGACGGUUUUGCUGUCACUUAUAGAUGGAUCCGCGCCGCAUUAGGUAGGUGGUAAGGUAAGGGCUUACCAAGGCAACGAUGCGUAGCCGACCUGACAGGGUGAUCGGCCCCACUGGAACUGAGACACGGUCCAGACUCCUACGGGAGGCAGCAGUAGGGAAUCUUCCACAAUGGGCGAAAGCCUGACGGAGCAACGCCGCGUGAAUGAUGAAGGUCUUCGGAUCGUAAAACUCUGUUAUUAGGGAAGAACAAAUGUGUAAGUAACUAUGCACGUCUUGACGGUACCUAAUCAGAAAGCCACGGCUAACUACGUG